Molecule: long non-coding RNA, 939 nt
Filed under: Mytilus galloprovincialis (Mediterranean mussel)
Lineage: Eukaryota; Metazoa; Mollusca; Bivalvia; Mytilida; Mytilidae
Source: RNAcentral
CUUCCUCAUAAUGCUCAUUGUGUAAACCAUGUGUGGGAAGUGUGGGAGGAUAUAUAUUUAGUGUUAUCCUGACAUAAUUGCCCAAUUCUAAUGCCUGCUAAAGGAAGUUAAAAAAAUGCUGUGAGCUGAACAUGCUUUUGACAGUGAAUGAGAUGGUCCCCUGUUGAGUUUACUGUUGUGACAUAACCUCUGCCCACAUAAUUCCUACUUGACUGUAACUGCUACCUAUAAAUUCUCAUCAUCUCUAGUAUAACAUGUCAUGACUUGUUUAGAUUUUGAGGGAUGUAUGAAAUUUAUCUAUCAGGCAAAAAUUUAUACUGUCUUUAAGUUUGUUUUUCAAGAUUGAUUGAUAAAUGUUUGCAUUAUGUACAGUGGCAAUUAUUUCAUGCAUGUUCAGGACAAGAAUAGACUUACAAGAAAAAUAAGAGUUACAUGUAGGUCCUGCAAUAGGGGAUUCACCAGGAUGAUUAGCAGAGAAUUUAGAAUGCCACUGGAAAAUGAAAGUAUAUUCAAUAGGCAAACAAAUUUAACCUUGCAACUCCUCAAAAUUGUUGCAACUAUUCUCGGUGACAAUGAAUGUGCAGAGACUAGAUCUCUCUAUGAACAAGGCACCAUAUAUCAACAUUGUAACACCACAUGGUUGAUGAAUUAUACAUCCCAUACAGCCAAACAAAUGCCCAACUUUGACCACUUUUGACAAGAGUUUUACUGUAGGUCAGAAAAAGACUAAGAAAUAAAUAUAUUGUAUACACAAAACCCCACGGGUAAAGAAAAAAUAAAAUUAUUACACAUCUCCUUUAAUCCUCAAGAUCAAGAAAGACACAAAAAAAAAAGAGAGAAGAGGGGAUAUCAUGUAGAACUACAUGUAUUGGUUUUCUUAAUGAUAUUUUAGAAAAUGGAUUCAAAAAUUCUAAGGAAUCUUAGAAUUUAUACAUUUUU